GAUUAACUAUGGGGUAAUUAUUAAUACCGUAGUUAUAUAUUUAAAUACAAACUGUAAUCUAUAUAUAAACAUACUAUCAUCGACCAGUGAAUGUUGGAACUUCGAUUAUUUUAUACAAAUCUUAUGUAUCAGAAAAUCAAAUUAUUUUUAGAACUUCUAUGUAUAUAUUGAAGAUUGGAGUAGUCGAAAAUAUGAAUCAGUGAAUUUGUAAAUGCAUAAGAAUAAUAAUUUAAAAUGGAAAUUAGCAAGAACAAUAUAUUUGAAGGGGAAGAAAAGGACCGCAACUACUUUUUAGUACAUGUAACAUGAUCUAUUUCGCUUCAUUAUACCUCAAGCUCCGGAGCUUCAACAUUUAUUGGUGUUGAGUAGGUUUGUUAUAAUUGUCAUGACUGUGAAGUAUCAACUUGAACGUGUAUUAUACAAGACGGUGAGCGAGGGGCAAAAAGACAAGGAUUGGGUUUCAUUCUCAAUCUUUCCGGUGCAUCAUCAACCACACAUGCUUUUUCACGAACCUGCCGUAAUUUAGCCUUUUAUGUAGAAAAUUAAGACAAUCAUUCCACUGACUAAUCAAUAUAAAUGAUAAAUUGGAUAAAUAUUAUGGACUUAAAUUUCGAACACAGGUCCAUUUU
RNAcentral lists this long non-coding RNA (629 nucleotides) under Daucus carota (carrot). RNAcentral describes it as "long non-coding RNA (DCAR_LNC004469)". Lineage: Eukaryota; Viridiplantae; Streptophyta; Magnoliopsida; Apiales; Apiaceae. The record is from RNAcentral.